Molecule: ribosomal RNA, 846 nt
Filed under: Microlunatus sp. CB 286544
Lineage: Bacteria; Bacillati; Actinomycetota; Actinomycetes; Propionibacteriales; Propionibacteriaceae
Description: bacterial SSU rRNA
Rfam family: Bacterial small subunit ribosomal RNA
Source: RNAcentral
GCUUUGAUGAUCAGUGGCGAACGGGUGAGUAACACGUGAGCAACCUACCCUUGACUCCGGGAUAACAGUUGGAAACAGCUGCUAAUACCGGAUACGACCUCGACCGACAUCAGUUGAGGUGGAAAGUUCUGGCGGUCAAGGAUGGGCUCGCGGCCUAUCAGCUAGUUGGUGAGGUAACGGCUCACCAAGGCUUCGACGGGUAGCCGGCCUGAGAGGGCGACCGGCCACACUGGGACUGAGAUACGGCCCAGACUCCUACGGGAGGCAGCAGUGGGGAAUAUUGCACAAUGGGCGAAAGCCUGAUGCAGCAACGCCGCGUGCGGGAUGACGGCCUUCGGGUUGUAAACCGCUUUCAGCUCCGACGAAGCGCAAGUGACGGUAGGAGCAGAAGAAGGACCGGCCAACUACGUGCCAGCAGCCGCGGUGAUACGUAGGGUCCGAGCGUUGUCCGGAAUUAUUGGGCGUAAAGGGCUUGUAGGCGGUCUGUCGCGUCGGAAGUGAAAACUCAGGGCUUAACCCUGAGCCUGCUUCCGAUACGGGCAGACUAGAGGAAUGCAGGGGAGAAUGGAAUUCCUGGUGGAGCGGUGGAAUGCGCAGAUAUCAGGAGGAACACCAGUGGCGAAGGCGGUUCUCUGGGCAUUUCCUGACGCUGAGAAGCGAAAGCGUGGGGAGCAAACAGGCUUAGAUACCCUGGUAGUCCACGCCGUAAACGGUGGGCACUAGGUGUGGGACUCAUUCCACGAGUUCCGUGCCGUAGCUAACGCAUUAAGUGCCCCGCCUGGGGAGUACGGCCGCAAGGCUAAAACUCAAAGGAAUUGACGGGGGCCCGCACAAGCGGCGGAGCAU